Non-coding RNA from Oryza glumipatula, 209 nucleotides. Lineage: Eukaryota; Viridiplantae; Streptophyta; Magnoliopsida; Poales; Poaceae. The record is from Rfam.
GUGUAGUGUAGUUUUAUACUAUUCAUCUCCAACAUUUAACCGUUCAUCUUAUUUGAAAAUUUUUUAUAAUUACUAUUUUUUAUUGUUAUUAGAUGAUAAAAUAUAAAUAGUACUUUAUGUGUUAUUAAUUUUUUUAAAAAAAUUUAUAAAUAUUUUAAAUAAGACGAAUAGUCAAACGUUGGACACAGAUUUUUAUGGCUGCAUUUAUU